Molecule: ribosomal RNA, 381 nt
Filed under: Hyphomicrobiales bacterium
Lineage: Bacteria; Pseudomonadati; Pseudomonadota; Alphaproteobacteria; Hyphomicrobiales
Description: partial 16S ribosomal RNA
Source: RNAcentral
AAACUUGAGAGUUUGAUCCUGGCUCAGAACGAACGCUGGCGGCAGGCCUAACACAUGCAAGUCGAACGAGAAACCGGAGCUUGCUCCGGCGGAAAGUGGCAGACGGGUGAGUAACGCGUGGGAACCUACCCAAGGGUACGGAAUAAUGCAGGGAAACUUGUACUAAUACCGUAUACGUCCUCAGGGAGAAAGAUUUAUCGCCCCUGGAUGGGCCCGCGUUGGAUUAGCUUGUUGGUGAGGUAAUGGCUCACCAAGGCGACGAUCCAUAGCUGGUUUGAGAGGAUGAUCAGCCACACUGGGACUGAGACACGGCCCAGACUCCUACGGGAGGCAGCAGURGGGAAUMUUGCRCAAUGGRSGMAASYCUGAYGCAGCAAUGCC